RNAcentral lists this transfer RNA (68 nucleotides) under Apis mellifera carpatica. RNAcentral's name for it is "tRNA-Pro". Lineage: Eukaryota; Metazoa; Arthropoda; Insecta; Hymenoptera; Apidae. The record is from RNAcentral.
CAAAAAAUAGUUUAAUUUAAAAAUGGUAAUUUUGGGAAUUAUCGAUAUUUAUUAAUAAAUUUUUUUGA